GUUGGAACUGUAACUUGAAUUGUGUCUACUUUGUAAUGUGCAUGAGGAUAAAUGUGACUAUUUGGCUUCAACUGGUUUGGUGAAAAAGCAAGGGCAAGAGAGUGUCGUCUUAUGUUGAAGCAGAGAUGACUACAGCACAACACUUGUCAACUGUCUAUGCCUCUGAAUCAUGUGGGCUAAUGCUAUGCUGUAGAGAGCGCCGUUGUCUUUUUAUACAAAACAGAUUGGAGAUGAAGCUCAUGUUCUGGUGCAUACUUAAGUUCCAGUUCUUUGUCUGGAGCAUCCUGGGCUGUUGUAAGAACAGCCUACUAAGCAUGUAGUCCUGCUUAUCAGUGUGAGUGUUUAAAAAAAAAAAAAAAAAAAAAAAAAUCUCUGAGUCAUUGACAGACCUGGAAUAUUUAGGCAUGGCCAUGGAUAUUUUUUCUCUGAUGUCAUCUGUUUGAUUCUGCUAAUGAGAAACAAUUCUCAAGCUAUCUCUCAGUGCAGCUGGACACUUUUUUUCUCUCCUGGAUUGUACAGUGAUUCUGCUUGCUUUGUUCCAAAGGUUGGCCAAGGUUUUGAUGACAGCAUCUAACCAGGUGACUGCAUACAACUCGUGGGCAUAUAACCAAGCAUUCUUCUCAUUGCUUGUAUCAGAUGAUCAAAACUGAAGGAACCUCAAACCGUCUUGGACUGAACACUGAAAAACCAUGUGACAAGUGCUUUUCUUCCUGAUGGUGGCACAGUCCCUUUGACUUCCCAGAUGUUCACGCAUGGCGGCAUGUUGGGCUGCAAGGAAAUACUCAUUUUCAACCUAUGUUAUGAGAAGGCUGAAAUCUCUGGUGGCUGGAUAACCUAGCGGCAGGAGGCUGUUCACCUCAUGACAGCUGCUGACUAUGAGAGGCCCUGCAAUUGGUAGUUCCCACCUCAUGUUCUUUGGUAGUGACUCAUGGCCAACUGCAAGAAGAGAUGAAGAGAAAGGUCAGCUUGAUCCCUGCAACAGCUGGCAUACACUGCCCAGUCCUCAGAGACCCUUUCCGCUUACCUAGGCUGGAAAGGAGAGGUAGGCCUCAGGCAGAAGCUCUUGUCUCACUGGAGGAAGAGGGAGGAGGGGAGGACAUGACUUUCUUCGUGAGGACCCUCUGUCCUGUGGGACCUGAUUAGUUGGCUGUUCAUCCCAAGCUCUUCUUGAGUCUCAUUCCUCCAAGAAAAAUGAGGAAAACGUUUUCUCUGCCCAUAUUGGAGAUACUUUGUUCACACGUGUUUGGCCCAGGAAUAAUGCUAUGAAGCAAGUAGCUGAGGAGAACUGCAGUCCUUCCUUCAAAAGGGUGUUGUCAUAUUGACAGUAGGACUUACCUACUACAAGGUUAAUACACAGUGUUCUAAUUGCCCUGGAUUAGUUGGCUCCUGAUCUUCUUUCACUGGUGACUACUAGACAUUAACCUCUCAUUCGUACUUAGAACCAUUAUCUUCAAUCUGUAGAGUUAGUUCGAUGGAGGAAGAAGCAGUACCAUUAUGAGACAAGAAAAAAACCCACCAUCCUUGCUCAGCUUUAUUACCAGCACCUACCAAAGGAUGACCAGCACUAUGGUGGGAUGACUGUUUGGUAUGCUAGGGUGAACAUGCACAGGACUGAUAAUUUGUACAAAGGGUGGAGAGGAAAUCACCUCCUUGUUCUUGGUGUUGGACUCGUUUGAUAAUAUCCUGUGACUGUUAGCAGCUUUGGAGGAUCCCAUGUCAACAUGUUGUCCAUAAGCUAUUAGUUGGGGGACCUCUGAAACUUGAUGAAACGAUUUUUGUUGUUCCAGUCAAUGAGCUUUGUGUGGCUGUAAUUCUCUAAAACUUUCUUUUGCACUUUUUCUGCAUAUGUCCACAUUUUUUAGAAAAACAGCAUAUUUAUUUUAAUUUACAUGUCAGUAACCUGUUGAUAUUAGGACCUCAGGUAUCUGUAUAGGAGAUGGCAGACACUGCCCUGUACAGCCUACCAGGGAAACAAGAACUUCAGAGAGUACAGAAGGUAGGAAUGAUACACAUGCUCCUUUGAAAUUGGCAUCUGGAGCCCACAAAUAGCUCAUACUGGAAACCACUCAAAAUUUCUCUUUGAAAUACCAUUUCAAAGUCAAUUGUCUUUCUGUGUUUCCCUAAAGGAAAAACAGAAGUGGUGUGCUGCAGUUGAUGUUUACCUCUUGUUUCAAUAAGACUGAUUUU
Molecule: long non-coding RNA, 2187 nt
Filed under: Apteryx rowi (Okarito brown kiwi)
Lineage: Eukaryota; Metazoa; Chordata; Aves; Apterygiformes; Apterygidae
Description: lncRNA (ENSARWG00000013720.1)
Source: RNAcentral